CCCACAUUAAGGCGCAGCGUGAAAGGAAGAGGCCCCUUGGCCAGGCAAAGCUCUCACGGAGGCCCCACGCUGCCUUGGCAGAGGCAGGCACAGAAUCCAAGCUUUGGCACGCAGGUUGCAGCUUCUGCCCAGUGCCCACAGUUUGCCCA
Non-coding RNA from Pseudonaja textilis, 149 nucleotides. NCBI's taxonomy places the organism in Eukaryota, Metazoa, Chordata, Lepidosauria, Squamata, Elapidae. The record is from RefSeq and is a predicted model, not a curated record.